AAUUGCAGGAACAAAAUAAAAGAAAUGAAAAGAAAAAUUUAUUACUUUUGUUUUUGUUACACAUAACAAAAAUUCUUCAUAAAUGGUGUAAUUUUUAAGGAAUAGAUAGGAAUUGGUCAUUACCAUUAUUCAUAAAUGAUGUAAUUUUUAAGGAACGCAUAGGAAUUGGUCAUUCUUUUUGAUUCCUUAUAUCACCGGUUAGAGCUUUUUUGUUUAAUAUUUUAGUAGAAAUUAAAUCUGUUUGUUAAAUAUUCUUGUUUCCUAAUUAUUAUUUCAGGUUAGAUAUUUGAGACAAAACAUCACGAUUUACCAAACAGAGACCGAUUUAAAACAAAAAUACAUGGACGCGGCAAAGAAGAAUUGAUAAAGAAAGGGCCAUGGAAAGCCGAAGAAGACGAAGUGUUCAUCAAAGAUACGGUCCGCGUGAGUGGAGCUCAAUUCAAUCCAAAGGUCUUCUUCAACGCACCGGGAAAUCAUGCCGUCUCCGUUGGUUCAACAUACUCCGCCCAAUCUCAAAAAGUGGUUAUUCUUGGCGGAUGAAGAGAGAAUGGUGAUCGAAUUGCAGGAGGAGUUUGAUAAUCAGUUAUAGCAAUCCAAAACGUCAAACAAAUGAAUUCCUUAAGAGGAAGACAGGUAUUUUGAAAAUUUUAAAUAAAGAAAAAAUAUAUUUCUGUUUGUUACCUUGGAUUUUUCAUUUUUCAGUUUGUGUGUGUGUGCGUUUUAGUUUCAGAGAUUUGCUUUGGUCGAGUUUGAUCUUGUUGAUAAUUAACAUUUGAGUUCGGCUCCCACUUUUGGCUAAUUUUAAAUAGUUCAGUUAAAAUUCA
Long non-coding RNA from Raphanus sativus (radish), 824 nucleotides. RefSeq lists it as uncharacterized. The record is from RefSeq and is a predicted model, not a curated record. NCBI's taxonomy places the organism in Eukaryota, Viridiplantae, Streptophyta, Magnoliopsida, Brassicales, Brassicaceae. The transcript has 2 exons.